RNA transcript from Phragmites australis (common reed), 975 nucleotides. RefSeq lists it as uncharacterized. NCBI's taxonomy places the organism in Eukaryota, Viridiplantae, Streptophyta, Magnoliopsida, Poales, Poaceae. The record is from RefSeq and is a predicted model, not a curated record. The transcript is spliced from 2 exons.
CCAUCACGCCACCGAGCAGCGCCUCGGAUCCUCAGCCUUCCCGAAGUAUCGAGUAGCCGCCUGCCUGCCCGCUUCCGUACACGAAGGGGAAGAGCCAUCAGCCAUGGAGAAGCAGAUCAAGCCGGCGCCCGACGCGCUCCUCCUCGCGCUCCGCUGCGCCAGAGCGUCGCUCCUCCUCGCCUCCCUCCGCCGCCUCCGCGAGUCUUCGCCGCCGCCGCCGCCGCGGGCUAGCCGGAGCUCAUCCGACUCCUCCUCCUCCUCCGCCGCCGCCGCCGCAGUAACACCUUCACCCCCUCCUCCGUCCUCCUGUUCUCGCUAAGGAGUGCGCGCUCGGGGCCGCCGACCGCCACCACCGCGGGGAGGUCGCGGCGCCGCGGCGCGAGGCCGCCGGGCAAUCGCGGCUCGCCGAGUCCGAGCUGUUCCUCAUCAUCGCCGUGGCCCCCGUGGUCCUGCUGCUGCUCCUCCUCCUCGGGCUUCUCUAGGACAGCGGCGUCGGGAGUAGCGCGGGGCGGGAUCCGCGUGCCUACGGCGACCGAAUCCGAAGCGAUUUGGAGUCUCCUCCCGUUCUGGGCUCCGUAAGUUGCUUCCGUUGUUGAUGUGGUGUUACGUUCUUCGGCUGACCAUGCUUCGCGGUGGAUUUAAUUUUGCGGCGGAUGCUGUACAUGUCCAUCAGUUUUGGUGUCAGGUUCGUGUGCAGUGGGUGUUCGAUCAAAUGCCUGUUUGAGUUUAGUUGCGUGUAGGUAAGCAGAGUUAUUUCGGUUUAAUUGUUCAUCGACAAAUGAAACCGAUGCGUACUGGAAGGGAGAAUGCUUGCCCCGUUGAUGUUCAUGGAUCCGCUGUUUGUCCAAUUGAUGUGGAUAGAAUGGUAGAAUCAGCGGUAUGCCUUGCAUUGUGAAUUAUUUGCUUUCACUGCCAUGGUUUUUGCGGAUUGCCCUGCGAUGGAGCGUAGAUGUAUCAUGUAACCGAUUGAUGCUG